GACGUAGGGGGCCAGCGUUGUUCGGAAUUACUGGGUGUAAAGGGUUCGUAGGCGGUGCGGCAAGUUGGGAGUGAAAUCUCUGGGCUUAACCCAGAGGCUGCUUCCAAAACUGCUGUGCUUGAGUGUGGGAGAGGCGCGUGGAAUUGCAGGUGUAGCGGUGAAAUGCGUAGAUAUCUGCAGGAACACCCGUGGCGAAAGCGGCGCGCUGGACCACUACUGACGCUGAAGAACGAAAGCUAGGGGAGCAAACAGG
RNAcentral lists this ribosomal RNA (253 nucleotides) under uncultured bacterium. RNAcentral's name for it is "partial 16S ribosomal RNA". It matches the Rfam family "Bacterial small subunit ribosomal RNA", at positions 524 to 776 of the family's 1533-position model. The record is from RNAcentral.